This 385-nucleotide ribosomal RNA is filed under the name uncultured bacterium. RNAcentral describes it as "bacterial SSU rRNA". It matches the Rfam family "Bacterial small subunit ribosomal RNA", at positions 30 to 416 of the family's 1533-position model. The record is from RNAcentral.
AUUGAACGCUGGCGGCAUGCCUUACACAUGCAAGUCGAACGGCAGCACGGGAGCAAUCCUGGUGGCGAGUGGCGAACGGGUGAGUAAUAUAUCGGAACGUGCCCAGUCGUGGGGAUAACGUAGCGAAAGCUACGCUAAUACCGCAUACGAUCUAUGGAUGAAAGCAGGGGAUCGCAAGACCUCGCGCGAUUGGAGCGGCCGAUAUCAGAUUAGGUAGUUGGUGAGGUAAAGGCUCACCAAGCCGACGAUCUGUAGCUGGUCUGAGAGGACGACCAGCCACACUGGGACUGAGACACGGCCCAGACUCCUACGGGAGGCAGCAGUGGGGAAUUUUGGACAAUGGGCGCAAGCCUGAUCCAGCAAUGCCGCGUGCAGGAUGAAGGCC